ACCAGUAUGGACCAGUAUAAACCAGUAUGGACCAGUAUAAACCAGUAUAAACCAGUAUAAACCUCCCCAAACCAGUAUAAACCAGUAUAACCCAGCUCCAGCAGGGUGAGCGCGGCCAAACGCUCCAGUAACGGCACCGAGGUCAGGCCCUAAACCAGUACAAACCAGUAUAAACCAGUAUAAACCAGUAUGGACCAGUAUAAACCAGUAUGGACCAGUAUAAACCCCUAUAAACCAGUAUAAACCAGUAUGGACCAGUAUGAACCAGUACAAACCAGUAUAAACCCCUAUGAACCAUCCUAAACCAGUACAGACCAGUAUAAACCAGUAUAAACCAGUACAGACCAGUAUGGACCAGUAGAAACCAGUAGAAACCAGUACAAACCAGUAACCCCAAACUCCCUCCCAGUAACCCCCAGAGCAUCCCGAGCACCGUCCCAGUACAAACCAGUACAAACCAGUAUAAACCAGUGACCCCCACACUCCCUCCCAGUCCAAACCAGUAACCCCCACCCAAACCAGUACAAACCAGUACAAACCAGUACAAACCAGUAUAAAAAAAUCCCAAUUUUCCCCAUUUUUGACCCUUUCACCCCCUCCCAGCACCCCCAAAUCCCCUCCCAGUCCAAACCAGUCCAAACCAGUAACCCCCAGUCCCCUCCCAGUACAAACCAGUAGAAACCAGUAACCCCCCACCCCCAAACCAGAACAAACCAGUACAAACCAGUAUGAAAAAUAUCCCAAUUUUCCCCAUUUUCCCCCCAUUUUUAACCCUUUAACUCCCUCCCAGUUCAUCCCAGUUCCCUCCCAGUUCAUCCCAGUCCCCUCCCAGUCCAAACCAGUAACCCCCAACCCCAAACCAGUACAAACCAGUACAAACCAGUACAAACCAGUUACC
Serinus canaria (Common canary) is the source of this 898-nucleotide long non-coding RNA. RefSeq lists it as uncharacterized. NCBI's taxonomy places the organism in Eukaryota, Metazoa, Chordata, Aves, Passeriformes, Fringillidae. The transcript is spliced from 3 exons. The record is from RefSeq and is a predicted model, not a curated record.